Molecule: ribosomal RNA, 246 nt
Filed under: uncultured Lactobacillus sp.
Lineage: Bacteria; Bacillati; Bacillota; Bacilli; Lactobacillales; Lactobacillaceae
Description: partial 16S ribosomal RNA
Rfam family: Bacterial small subunit ribosomal RNA
Source: RNAcentral
CGUGGGUAACCUGCCCAAGAGAUCGGGAUAACACCUGGAAACAGAUGCUAAUACCGGAUAACAACAGAUGAUGCCUAUCAACUGUUUAAAAGAUGGUUCUGCUAUCACUCUUGGAUGGACCUGCGGUGCAUUAGCUAGUUGGUGGGGUAACGGCCUACCAAGGCGAUGAUGCAUAGCCGAGUUGAGAGACUGAUCGGCCACAUUGGGACUGAGACACGGCCCAAACUCCUACGGGAGGCAGCAGCC